Molecule: long non-coding RNA, 1353 nt
Filed under: Monodelphis domestica (gray short-tailed opossum)
Lineage: Eukaryota; Metazoa; Chordata; Mammalia; Didelphimorphia; Didelphidae
Description: lncRNA (ENSMODG00000046356.1)
Source: RNAcentral
AUCCAAAUAAACAAGGGCUUUUCUUCCUUACAACGUACUUCCCCCAUGACUUUUAGAAUUUCUUGUUCAGGAUAUAUCUUGACAAAUUAUCUUAAUCCCUCCAUUUCUGCUACCAGUCAAACAACCACCCUUUAUUAUGUUUCCCGUUAAUAUGACUACUGACUGGUAUGAUGAUCCAGGCAUUUAUGCUCUACAAUUAAUUUCCCAUAAUUUAAGUUGCCCUAAGUGCUUCAUUGCAUCCCUUAUCCUGGGUAUCACCGCACUUCGACGACUGCUCCUGUCCAGGAAGUCUACACUGCACGACAUAUAGAUAAUCUUUCAAAAAAUGUCUCCCUUGCUCUUUUAACCCAGGAACACAUAGACAAAGGGUUAGAAGCUUGUAUAAAUGUCCUGGAAGAAGCCAUUCUUUAUGUUGGAAAUCAGUUACAAAAUACCAAAUCAUCAUCCAAUAUCUAGAUUCUACCAUUCAUCAAGUUCAAAUCGAACUGAAGUCACUCUAGCUAAAAAACAGAAAAGGGGAAGAUGCUGGGGGCUGCCUGACAUGGUCGCACGUGGAAACCAGGGUUGCAAAGCGACCCUCCGGAAAGAUGAGACACCCACUCAGCCCCUCCUUUUUUUUCAUGUGACUUUUCCCAUUAACUUUCCUUACUAUUGGAAUUGGUAUGAUUGUUGUUCUCUCCCCAGUUUCAGGAGAAAUAAUAUGAGAGCAAAUACUCGCAGGAUUAAUACAUAUGUCCCAUUUUUAAUCCCCCCAGAAUACCACCCCAAAGUUCCACCCCAAAGAUCUUAUUCACAGAAUUAAAACCUAAAGAAUUUUUUAUGUACCCACUACCCUCCUCUUUUCUUUUAGUUAGCAGAAUCACACUUAGAUUCCCAACAGCCAUUACAAGCCAGGCAUGUCAGGAACAUCACUCACCUUUCAAGCCCAGACUGAUAGGACAUACUUCAUUGAUUUGUUGUGUUUACAAUAGCCAGAGCAACGUCACUAGAUGCUUGAAUGAAACAUAGAAAAAUGUAACUUGGACAUUGGAAAAUACCUAAUUCUGGCUUUUAUUAAAUUUACUCUUUAAUCCUGUACCUAGCAGCAAAUGUUUUUGUUACUUAUAUCUUAAGUAAUUCUGAUUGAUUAUGAAAGCCAAUUAAAAGCAACAAUGAUUCUCUUAGCUGGUCAUCCCACAGGUCAGUGGGAACUGACCCCUGGUUACCCUGCCUGUGUCAUUAAACUAUUUGUUAAAAGCUAAUGUGGGACAUAUCCAAUUAUCUGCAAGAAAUUAUGUAUGUUGAAAAAUGAGACUGUGUACCAAGAAAAAAUGUAAUCACUAGGUAUAAAAAUAAAGAUGACUGUGCCAAGCA